RNAcentral lists this ribosomal RNA (454 nucleotides) under uncultured bacterium. Its description in RNAcentral is "bacterial SSU rRNA". It matches the Rfam family "Bacterial small subunit ribosomal RNA", at positions 340 to 786 of the family's 1533-position model. The record is from RNAcentral.
UACGGGAGGCAGCAGUGGGGAAUAUUGCACAAUGGGCGCAAGCCUGAUGCAGCCAUGCCGCGUGUAUGAAAAAGGCCUUCGGGUUGUAAAGUACUUUCAGUCGUGAGGAAGGUGUUAAGGUUAAUAACCUUAGCAAUUGACGUUAGCGACAGAAGAAGCACCGGCUAACUCCGUGCCAGCAGCCGCGGUAAUACGGAGGGUGCGAGCGUUAAUCGGAAUUACUGGGCGUAAAGGGCACGCAGGCGGUUAAUUAAGUUGGAUGUGAAAUCCCCGGGCUUAACCUGGGAAUGGCAUUUCAAGACUGGUUAGCUAGAGUCUUGUAGAGGGGGUAGAAUUCCAUGUGUAGCGGUGAAAUGCGUAGAGAUGUGGAGGAAUACCGGUGGCGAAGGCGGCCCCUGGACAAAGACUGACGCUCAUGUGCGAAAGCGUGGGGAGCAAACAGGGAUUAGAUACC